AGUGAACGCUGGCGGCAGGCCUAACACAUGCAAGUCGAACGGCAGCACAGUAAGAGCUUGCUCUUACGGGUGGCGAGUGGCGGACGGGUGAGGAAUACACCCGAGCCUACUUUUUCGUGGGGCUAACGCUGGGAAACUUACGCUAAUGCCGCAUACGACCUACGGGUGAAAGCAGGGGAUCUUCGGACCUUGCGCGAUUGAAUGAGCCGAUGGCGGAUUAGCUAGUUGGCGGGGUAAAGGCCCACCAAGGCGACGAUCCGUAGCUGGUCUGUGAGGAUGAUCAGCCACACUGGAACUGGAGAACGGUCCAAGCUCCUACGGGAGGCAGCAGUGGGGAAUAUUGGACAAUGGGCGCAAGCCUGGUCCAACCAUACCGGGUGGGUGAAGAAGGCCUUCGGGUUUGAAAGCCCCUUUUUUGGGAAAGAAAAGCAGCAGGUUAAAAACCCGCUGUUCUGACGGUAACCAAAAAAUAAGCAACGGCUAACUUCGUG
This 491-nucleotide ribosomal RNA is filed under the name uncultured bacterium. RNAcentral's name for it is "partial 16S ribosomal RNA". It matches the Rfam family "Bacterial small subunit ribosomal RNA", at positions 29 to 507 of the family's 1533-position model. The record is from RNAcentral.